CCUACGGGAGGCAGCAGUGGGGAAUAUUGGGCAAUGGGCGCAAGCCUGACCCAGCAACGCCGCGUGAAGGAAGAAGGCUUUCGGGUUGUAAACUUCUUUUCUCAGGGACGAAGCAAGUGACGGUACCUGAGGAAUAAGCCACGGCUAACUACGUGCCAGCAGCCGCGGUAAUACGGAGGUGGCAAGCGUUAUCCGGAUUUACUGGGUGGAAAGGGCGUGGAGGCGGGAAAGCAAGUCAGAUGUGAAAACCAUGGGCUCAACCUGUGGACUGCAUUUGAAACUGUUUGUCUUGAGUACUGGAGAGGCAGACGGAAUUCCUGGUGUAGCGGUGAAAUGCGUAGAUAUUAGGAGGAACACCAGUGGCGAAGGCGGUCUGCUGGACAGCAACUGACGCUGAGGCGCGAAAGCGUGGGGAGCAAACAGGAUUAGAUACCCCAGUAGUC
Molecule: ribosomal RNA, 443 nt
Filed under: uncultured bacterium
Lineage: Bacteria
Description: partial 16S ribosomal RNA
Rfam family: Bacterial small subunit ribosomal RNA
Source: RNAcentral